AACGCUAGCUACAGGCUUAACACAUGCAAGUCGAGGGGUAACGAGAGGGAAGCUUGCUUUCCUUGUCGACGACCGGCGCACGGGUGAGUAACGCGUAUCCAACCUGCCCACAACUAAGGAAUAACCUUGCGAAAGUAAGACUAAUACCUUAUAAUUUCCUCUGAAGGCAUCGGACGAGGAAUAAAGAUUUAUCGGUUAUGGAUGGGGAUGCGUCUGAUUAGCUUGUUGGCGGGGUAACGGCCCACCAAGGCAACGAUCAGUAGGGGUUCUGAGAGGAAGGUCCCCCACAUUGGAACUGAGACACGGUCCAAACUCCUACGGGAGGCAGCAGUGAGGAAUAUUGGUCAAUGGGCGAGAGCCUGAACCAGCCAAGUAGCGUGCAGGAUGACGGCCCUAUGGGUUGUAAACUGCUUUUAUACAGGAAUAAAGUUAGCCACGUGUGGUUAUUUGUAGGUACUGUAUGAAUAAGGACCGGCUAAUUCCGUGCCAGCAGCCGCGGUAAUACGGAAGGUCCAGGCGUUAUCCGGAUUUAUUGGGCUUAAAGGGAGCGUAGGCCGUCUGUUAAGCGUGUUGUGAAAUGUAGAUGCUCAACAUCUGAAUUGCAGCGCGAACUGGCAGACUUGAGUGUGCGCAACGUAGGCGGAAUUCGUGGUGUAGCGGUGAAAUGCUUAGAUAUCACGAAGAACUCCGAUUG
RNAcentral lists this ribosomal RNA (694 nucleotides) under uncultured bacterium. RNAcentral describes it as "bacterial SSU rRNA". It matches the Rfam family "Bacterial small subunit ribosomal RNA", at positions 32 to 715 of the family's 1533-position model. The record is from RNAcentral.